RNAcentral lists this ribosomal RNA (654 nucleotides) under eukaryote SCGC AAA071-B09. RNAcentral's name for it is "partial 16S ribosomal RNA". It matches the Rfam family "Bacterial small subunit ribosomal RNA", at positions 93 to 845 of the family's 1533-position model. The record is from RNAcentral.
CUAAUGCAAACGGGUGAGUAAUACUUAAGUAAUUUAUCUUUUAUUAUUUAAGAAAAGCUUAAGGAAAAUUAGAUAGUUGGUUUUUUAAAAGAAAACCAAGUCUUUUAUUUUUAGCAAAUUUGAAAAAAUGAUUUGCCACAGUGGCACUGAGACAAGGGCCAAACUUUUUUAAGGCAGCAGUGAGGAAUUUUGGACAAUGAACACAAGUUUGAUCCAGUAAUACCAAUUAGGUGACUAAGGUUAUUUUGAUUGUAAAACCUUACGUUUAAAAAAAUAAUGAUUUUUUAAACAAAUUAGCUCUGGCUAAUUAUGUGCCAGCAGCCGCGGUAAUACAUAAAGAGCUAGCAUUAUUUGGAAUUAUUUGGCAUAAAGUGUUUGUAGGUUGCUUUUUUUGCUAAUUUUUUUAUUAAAAGCUUAACUUUUUUAAAAAAUUAAGACAAUUAUAGCUUGAGUAGAUCAAAGGUUAGUAGAACUUCUAGGUUACAGUUAAAAUUGGUUUAUCCUAUAAAGACUUCCAAAGGCUAAUGCAACUUUCUAUGAUUUUACUGACACUCAAAAACGAAAGCCUAGGUAGCAAAGAGGAUUAGAUACCCUUUUAGUCUAGGGUGUAAACUAUGUGUACUUAAAAUUAAAUCUCUUUUUGAAGAGGUUGAG